UACAGAGACCCCAAGCGUUAUCCGGAAUUAUUGGGCGUAAAGGGUGAGUAGGUGGUAUUAUUAGUCUUGUUUUAAAGAUUCUGGGCUCAACCCAGGAUAUGAAUAAGAAACGGUAAAACUAGAAUUUUGGAGAGGUCUGUGGAACUAUAUGUGUAGGGGUAAAAUCCGUUGAUAUAUAUGGGAACACCUAAAGCGAAGGCAGCAGACUGGCCAAACAUUGACACUGAAUCACGAAAGCGUGGGUAGCGAUACGG
This 254-nucleotide ribosomal RNA is filed under the name uncultured bacterium. Its description in RNAcentral is "partial 16S ribosomal RNA". It matches the Rfam family "Bacterial small subunit ribosomal RNA", at positions 524 to 776 of the family's 1533-position model. The record is from RNAcentral.